AGUGAACGCUGGCGGUAGGCCUAACACAUGCAAGUCGAACGGCAGCACAGUAAGAGCUUGCUCUUACGGGUGGCGAGUGGCGGACGGGUGAGGAAUACAUCGGAAUCUACUUUUUCGUGGGGGAUAACGUAGGGAAACUUACGCUAAUACCGCAUACGACCUACGGGUGAAAGCAGGGGAUCUUCGCACCUUGCGCGAAUGAAUGAGCCGAUGUCGGAUUAGCUAGUUGGCGGGGUAAAGGCCCACCAAGGCGACGAUCCGUAGCUGGUCUGAGAGGAUGGUCGCCCACACUGGAACUGGGACACGGUCCAGACGCCUACGGGAGGCAGCAGUGGGGAAUAUUGGACAGUGGUCGCAAGCCUGGUCCAGCCAUACCGCGUGUGUUAAGAAGGCCUUCGGGUUGUAAAGCCCUUUUUUUGGGAAAGAAAAGCAGCAGGUUAAUACCCCGCUGUUCUGACGGUACCCAAAGAAUAAGCACCGGCUAACUUCGUG
Molecule: ribosomal RNA, 492 nt
Filed under: uncultured bacterium
Lineage: Bacteria
Description: partial 16S ribosomal RNA
Rfam family: Bacterial small subunit ribosomal RNA
Source: RNAcentral